AUUUUUUUAAAAGGAGACCUUUUUUUAAAUUUUUUUUCCCGCUCAGAUUGAACGCUGGCGGCAGGCCUAACACAUGCAAGUCGAGCGGUAGCACAGAGAGCUUGCUCUCGGGUGACGAGCGGCGGACGGGUGAGUAAUGUCUGGGAAACUGCCUGAUGGAGGGGGAUAACUACUGGAAACGGUAGCUAAUACCGCAUAACGUCGCAAGACCAAAGUGGGGGACCUUCGGGCCUCAUGCCAUCAGAUGUGCCCAGAUGGGAUUAGCUAGUAGGUGGGGUAACGGCUCACCUAGGCGACGAUCCCUAGCUGGUCUGAGAGGAUGACCAGCCACACUGGAACUGAGACACGGUCCAGACUCCUACGGGAGGCAGCAGUGGGGAAUAUUGCACAAUGGGCGCAAGCCUGAUGCAGCCAUGCCGCGUGUGUGAAGAAGGCCUUCGGGUUGUAAAGCACUUUCAGCGGGGAGGAAGGCGAUAAGGUUAAUAACCUUGUCGAUUGACGUUACCCGCAGAAGAAGCACCGGCUAACUCCGUGCCAGCAGCCGCGGUAAUACGGAGGGUGCAAGCGUUAAUCGGAAUUACUGGGCGUAAAGCGCACGCAGGCGGUCUGUCAAGUCGGAUGUGAAAUCCCCGGGCUCAACCUGGGAACUGCAUUCGAAACUGGCAGGCUAGAGUCUUGUAGAGGGGGGUAGAAUUCCAGGUGUAGCGGUGAAAUGCGUAGAGAUCUGGAGGAAUACCGGUGGCGAAGGCGGCCCCCUGGACAAAGACUGACGCUCAGGUGCGAAAGCGUGGGGAGCAAACAGGAUUAGAUACCCUGGUAGUCCACGCCGUAAACGAUGUCGAUUUGGAGGUUGUGCCCUUGAGGCGUGGCUUCCGGAGCUAACGCGUUAAAUCGACCGCCUGGGGAGUACGGCCGCAAGGUUAAAACUCAAAUGAAUUGACGGGGGCCCGCACAAGCGGUGGAGCAUGUGGUUUAAUUCGAUGCAACGCGAAGAACCUUACCUGGUCUUGACAUCCACAGAACUUAGCAGAGAUGCUUUGGUGCCUUCGGGAACUGUGAGACAGGUGCUGCAUGGCUGUCGUCAGCUCGUGUUGUGAAAUGUUGGGUUAAGUCCCGCAACGAGCGCAACCCUUAUCCUUUGUUGCCAGCGGUUAGGCCGGGAACUCAAAGGAGACUGCCAGUGAUAAACUGGAGGAAGGUGGGGAUGACGUCAAGUCAUCAUGGCCCUUACGACCAGGGCUACACACGUGCUACAAUGGCAUAUACAAAGAGAAGCGACCUCGCGAGAGCAAGCGGACCUCAUAAAGUAUGUCGUAGUCCGGAUUGGAGUCUGCAACUCGACUCCAUGAAGUCGGAAUCGCUAGUAAUCGUAGAUCAGAAUGCUACGGUGAAUACGUUCCCGGGCCUUGUACACACCGCCCGUCACACCAUGGGGAGUGGGUUGCAAAAGAAGUAGGUAGCUUAACCUUCGGGAGGGCGCUUACCACUUUGUGAUCAUGACUGGGUGAUAAAAAGGCGCCCCCAAAAAACAAAAAAAAAAAAGGAAAAAAAAAAACAGCCUC
This 1562-nucleotide ribosomal RNA is filed under the name Klebsiella pneumoniae. RNAcentral's name for it is "bacterial SSU rRNA". It matches the Rfam family "Bacterial small subunit ribosomal RNA". The record is from RNAcentral. Lineage: Bacteria; Pseudomonadati; Pseudomonadota; Gammaproteobacteria; Enterobacterales; Enterobacteriaceae.